This 504-nucleotide ribosomal RNA is filed under the name uncultured bacterium. RNAcentral's name for it is "partial 16S ribosomal RNA". It matches the Rfam family "Bacterial small subunit ribosomal RNA", at positions 29 to 523 of the family's 1533-position model. The record is from RNAcentral.
AUUGAACGCUGGCGGCAGGCCUAACACAUGCAAGUCGAACGGUAGCACCGAGAGCUUGCUCUCGGGUGACGAGUGGCGGACGGGUGAGUAACGUCUGGGAAACUGCCCGAUGGAGGGGGAUAACUACUGGAAACGGUAGCUAAUACCGCAUAACGUCGCAAGACUAAAGUGGGGGAACUUCGGGCCUCACACCAUCGGAUGUGCCCAGAUGGGAUUAGCUAGUAGGUGGGGUAAUGGCUCACCUAGGCGACGAUCCCUAGCUGGUCUGAGAGGGUGACCAGCCACACGGGAACGGAGACACGGGCCAGACUCCUACGGGAGGCAGCAGUGGGGAAUAUUGCACAAUGGGCGCAAGCCUGAUGCAGCCAUGCCGCGUGUAGGAAGAAGGCCUUCGGGUUGUAAAGUACUUUCAGCGGGGAGGAAGGCGGUGAAGUUAAUAACUUCACCGAUUGACGUUACCCGCAGAAGAAGCACCGGCUAACUCCGUGCCAGCCGCCGCCGUAA